Molecule: ribosomal RNA, 496 nt
Filed under: uncultured bacterium
Lineage: Bacteria
Description: partial 16S ribosomal RNA
Rfam family: Bacterial small subunit ribosomal RNA
Source: RNAcentral
GAUGAACGCUGGCGGCGUGCCUAAUACAUGCAAGUCGAGCGAACGGACGAGAAGCUUGCUUCUCUGAUGUUAGCGGCGGACGGGUGAGUAACACGUGGAUAACCUACCUAUAAGACUGGGAUACUUCGGGAAACCGGAGCUAAUACCGGAUGAUAUUUUGAACCGCAUGGUUCAAAAGUGAAAGACGGUCUUGCUGUCACUUAUAGAUGGAUCCGCGCUGCAUUAGCUAGUUGGUAAGGUAACGGCUUACCAAGGCAACGAUGCAUAGCCGACCUGAGAGGGUGAUCGGCCACACUGGAACUGAGACACGGUCCAGACUCCUACGGGAGGCAGCAGUAGGGAAUCUUCCGCAAUGGGCGAAAGCCUGACGGAGCAACGCCGCGUGAGUGAUGAAGGUAUUCGGAUCGUAAAACUCUGUUAUUAGGGAAGAACAUAUGUGUAAGUAACUGUGCACAUCUUGACGGUACCUAAUCAGAAAGCCACGGCUAACUACGUG